This 2289-nucleotide ribosomal RNA is filed under the name Listeria monocytogenes. Its description in RNAcentral is "partial 23S ribosomal RNA". It matches the Rfam family "Bacterial large subunit ribosomal RNA", at positions 1 to 2282 of the family's 2925-position model. Lineage: Bacteria; Bacillati; Bacillota; Bacilli; Caryophanales; Listeriaceae. The record is from RNAcentral.
GGUUAAGUUAGAAAGGGCGCACGGUGGAUGCCUUGGCACUAGGAGCCGAAGAAGGACGGGACUAACACCGAUAUGCUUUGGGGAGCUGUACGUAAGCGUUGAUCCAGAGAUUUCCGAAUGGGGGAACCCACUAUCUUUAGUCGGAUAGUAUCCUUACGUGAAUACAUAGCGUGAGGAAGGCAGACCCAGGGAACUGAAACAUCUAAGUACCUGGAGGAAGAGAAAGAAAAAUCGAUUUCCUGAGUAGCGGCGAGCGAAACGGAAAGAGCCCAAACCAAGAAGCUUGCUUCUUGGGGUUGUAGGACACUCUAUACGGAGUUACAAAAGAAAGUUAUAAAUGAAGCGGUCUGGAAAGGCCCGCCAAAGACGGUAACAGCCCGGUAGUUGAAAUAGCUUUCCCUCCAGAGUGGAUCCUGAGUACGGCGGAACACGUGAAAUUCCGUCGGAAUCCGGGAGGACCAUCUCCCAAGGCUAAAUACUCCCUAGUGACCGAUAGUGAACCAGUACCGUGAGGGAAAGGUGAAAAGCACCCCGGAAGGGGAGUGAAACAGUUCCUGAAACCGUGUGCCUACAAGUAGUUAGAGCCCGUUAAUGGGUGAUAGCGUGCCUUUUGUAGAAUGAACCGGCGAGUUACGAUUUGUUGCAAGGUUAAGCGGAAAAAGCGGAGCCGUAGCGAAAGCGAGUCUGAAUAGGGCGCAUAAGUAACAGGUCGUAGACCCGAAACCAGGUGAUCUACCCAUGUCCAGGAUGAAGGUAAGGUAAUACUUACUGGAGGUCCGAACCCACGCACGUUGAAAAGUGCGGGGAUGAGGUGUGGGUAGCGGAGAAAUUCCAAUCGAACUUGGAGAUAGCUGGUUCUCUCCGAAAUAGCUUUAGGGCUAGCCUCGAGGUAAAGAGUCAUGGAGGUAGAGCACUGUUUGGACUAGGGGCCCUUCUCGGGUUACCGAAUUCAGAUAAACUCCGAAUGCCAUGUACUUAUACUCGGGAGUCAGACUGCGAGUGAUAAGAUCCGUAGUCGAAAGGGAAACAGCCCAGACCACCAGUUAAGGUCCCCAAAUAUAUGUUAAGUGGAAAAGGAUGUGGGGUUGCUUAGACAACCAGGAUGUUGGCUUAGAAGCAGCCACCAUUGAAAGAGUGCGUAAUAGCUCACUGGUCGAGUGACCCCGCGCCGAAAAUGUACCGGGGCUAAACAUAUUACCGAAACUGUGGAUGAACCUCUUUAGAGGUUCGUGGUAGGAGAGCGUUCUAAGGGCGGUGAAGUCAGACCGGAAGGACUGGUGGAGCGCUUAGAAGUGAGAAUGCCGGUAUGAGUAGCGAAAGAAGGGUGAGAAUCCCUUCCACCGAAUAUCUAAGGUUUCCUGAGGAAGGCUCGUCCGCUCAGGGUUAGUCGGGACCUAAGCCGAGGCCGAUAGGCGUAGGCGAUGGACAACAGGUAGAGAUUCCUGUACCAGUGCUAAUUGUUUAACCGAUGGGGUGACACAGAAGGAUAGGGAAUCGCACGAAUGGAAAUGUGCGUCCAAGCAGUGAGUGUGAGAAGUAGGCAAAUCCGCUUCUCGCGAAGCAUGAGCUGUGAUGGGGAAGGAAAUUAAGUACGGAAGUUCCUGAUUUCACGCUGUCAAGAAAAGCCUCUAGGAAGAGUAGUACUGCCCGUACCGCAAACCGACACAGGUAGAUGAGGAGAGAAUCCUAAGGUGAGCGAGAGAACUCUCGUUAAGGAACUCGGCAAAAUGACCCCGUAACUUCGGGAGAAGGGGUGCUCUAUUAGGGUGCAAGCCCGAGAGAGCCGCAGUGAAUAGGCCCAGGCGACUGUUUAGCAAAAACACAGGUCUCUGCAAAACCGUAAGGUGACGUAUAGGGGCUGACGCCUGCCCGGUGCUGGAAGGUUAAGAGGAGUGCUUAGCUUCGGCGAAGGUACGAAUUGAAGCCCCAGUAAACGGCGGCCGUAACUAUAACGGUCCUAAGGUAGCGAAAUUCCUUGUCGGGUAAGUUCCGACCCGCACGAAAGGCGCAACGAUCUGGGCACUGUCUCAACGAGAGACUCGGUGAAAUUAUAGUACCUGUGAAGAUGCAGGUUACCCGCGACAGGACGGAAAGACCCCGUGGAGCUUUACUGCAACCUGAUAUGGAAUGUUUGUACCGCUUGUACAGGAUAGGUAGGAGCCGAAGAGACGUGUGCGCUAGCAUACGAGGAGGCAAUGGUGGGAUACUACCCUGGCUGUAUGACCAUUCUAACCCGCCACGCUUAGCGCGUGGGGAGACAGUGUCAGGUGGGCAGUUUGACUGGGGCGG